CUAGAAUAAUUUUUUUAAAUGAUUUUUGUUAAACCUUGAAUAUUUUGAAUUGUGCUGGGAUAGAUAUAUUUUAUAAUUUAGUAUCUUUUGCGUUAUUAAGCAACUUCUUAGUAUUUUGAUGUUUUUGUCACAAAUUCUAUCAACUAGCAAUUUGGAUGACCAAGAAACUACAUCAGAAUGAUAGAUAAUGGUAAGUUAAAAGAAUCUUGUUAAUUAUCAUGCCAAAAUAUAGAAUACAAUCAUUCAAUGUGAUUAUUAAAUAAUUGUAACCUUACUAAUGUGGACACUUAAGUAUAUAUAGGUUAGAACACUAACAACCUUUUGCCGACUAAAGGCUUGCGACUCGCCAGCAGAAGUGAGAUUGCUUCCUUGGUUCUCUCUCGUGUUCCGAGCUGACAUGAACUACGCUGGAUGCUGUGAAAAGUUCGCUAAAGAUGGCAUCAAAAUAUUAAAUCUAAUCGAAUGAGUUGCAAGUUAUAAGGAGAGAAAACAUUAUUACUUAGAAACAUCUAUCGAAACAUAUGCAGCAUUCCCAUCUCUUUCUCAACAUAAGAAUCGGCUGAAUCGAAAAACGGGCCAUUCUGACAUCAAUUUCUGUAAAGGGCCGAAUAAAUCAGACGCCACAGA
Argiope bruennichi is the source of this 627-nucleotide long non-coding RNA. RefSeq lists it as uncharacterized. The transcript is spliced from 3 exons. NCBI's taxonomy places the organism in Eukaryota, Metazoa, Arthropoda, Arachnida, Araneae, Araneidae. The record is from RefSeq and is a predicted model, not a curated record.